RNAcentral lists this ribosomal RNA (466 nucleotides) under Nonionella sp. T1. RNAcentral's name for it is "SSU rRNA". It matches the Rfam family "Eukaryotic small subunit ribosomal RNA", at positions 1184 to 1459 of the family's 1831-position model. The record is from RNAcentral. Lineage: Eukaryota; Foraminifera; Rotaliida; Nonionidae.
UGUGGCUUAAUUUGACUCAACGCGGGAAAUCUUACCGGGUCCGGACACACUGAGGAUUGACAGGUAACGUUAUACACACAUAUAUUUACUCUCGGGUAUUUAUACUGCUGUGUAUAUAUAAAAUAUGCUAGUCCUUUCAUGAUUAUGUGAUAGGUGGUGCAUGGCCGUUCUUAGUUCGUGGAGUGAUCUGUCUGCUUAAUUGCGUUUCACUAAGGAUCUAUAUUCAUAUUACGCAUAGCAUUUUGACCCCUUUAUGCUUCGGUAUAAAGCUGCGCGUCAAACCUUGCUAUCUGCGUAUAUUAGAUCCUGAAAGCAACGAACGUGACCGCAACCUCUUGUUGCCUUUAACUAGGUUUUGCUUACGUAUAGCUUCGGCUUUACGCUUUGCAUCUAAAAAGGCUGAUUUUCUAAACUAGAGGGACCGCUGUUACUUUCUUAAACCAGAGGAAGGUUGCGGCAAUAACAG